Molecule: ribosomal RNA, 1463 nt
Filed under: uncultured bacterium
Lineage: Bacteria
Description: 16S ribosomal RNA
Rfam family: Bacterial small subunit ribosomal RNA
Source: RNAcentral
GUUUGAUUAUGGCUCAGGAUGAACGCUGGCGGUGUGCCUAACACAUGCAAGUCGAGCGAUUUACUUCGGUAAAGAGCGGCGGACGGGUGAGUAACGCGUGGGUAACCUGCCCUGUACACACGGAUAACAUACCGAAAGGUAUGCUAAUACGAGAUAAAAUACUUUUAUCGCAUGGUAGAAGUAUCAAAGCUUUUGCGGUACAGGAUGGACCCGCGUCUGAUUAGCUAGUUGGUAAGGUAACGGCUUACCAAGGCGACGAUCAGUAGCCGACCUGAGAGGGUGAUCGGCCACAUUGGAACUGAGACACGGUCCAAACUCCUACGGGAGGCAGCAGUGGGGAAUAUUGCACAAUGGGCGAAAGCCUGAUGCAGCAACGCCGCGUGAGCGAUGAAGGCCUUCGGGUCGUAAAGCUCUGUCCUCAAGGAAGAUAAUGACGGUACUUGAGGAGGAAGCCCCGGCUAACUACGUGCCAGCAGCCGCGGUAAUACGUAGGGGGCUAGCGUUAUCCGGAAUUACUGGGCGUAAAGGGUGCGUAGGUGGUUUCUUAAGUCAGAGGUGAAAGGCUACGGCUCAACCGUAGUAAGCCUUUGAAACUGGGGAACUUGAGUGCAGGAGAGGAGAGUGGAAUUCCUAGUGUAGCGGUGAAAUGCGUAGAUAUUAGGAGGAACACCAGUUGCGAAGGCGGCUCUCUGGACUGUAACUGACACUGAGGCACGAAAGCGUGGGGAGCAAACAGGAUUAGAUACCCUGGUAGUCCACGCCGUAAACGAUGAGUACUAGCUGUCGGAGGUUACCCCCUUCGGUGGCGCACCUAACGCAUUAAGUACUCCGCCUGGGAAGUACGCUCGCAAGAGUGAAACUCAAAGGAAUUGACGGGGACCCGCACAAGUAGCGGAGCAUGUGGUUUAAUUCGAAGCAACGCGAAGAACCUUACCUAAGCUUGACAUCCUUUUGACCGAUGCCUAAUCGCAUCUUUCCCUUCGGGGACAGAAGUGACAGGUGGUGCAUGGUUGUCGUCAGCUCGUGUCGUGAGAUGUUGGGUUAAGUCCCGCAACGAGCGCAACCCUUGCCUUUAGUUGCCAGCAUUAAGUUGGGCACUCUAGAGGGACUGCCAGGGAUAACCUGGAGGAAGGUGGGGAUGACGUCAAAUCAUCAUGCCCCUUAUGCUUAGGGCUACACACGUGCUACAAUGGGUGGUACAGAGGGCAGCCAAGUCGUGAGGCGGAGCUAAUCCCUUAAAGCCAUUCUCAGUUCGGAUUGUAGGCUGAAACUCGCCUACAUGAAGCUGGAGUUACUAGUAAUCGCAGAUCAGAAUGCUGCGGUGAAUGCGUUCCCGGGUCUUGUACACACCGCCCGUCACACCACGGAAGUUGGGGGCGCCCGAAGCCACUUAGCUAACCCUUUUGGGAAGCGAGUGUCGAAGGUGAAAUCAAUAACUGGGGUGAAGUCGUAAAAAGGUACCC